Molecule: ribosomal RNA, 783 nt
Filed under: Neoseiulus californicus
Lineage: Eukaryota; Metazoa; Arthropoda; Arachnida; Mesostigmata; Phytoseiidae
Description: 12S ribosomal RNA
Source: RNAcentral
GGAGUUUUUAAUUAUAAAAUUUAUAUGAUUAUUUAAAAAAAAAUAAAAUUAUUAAUUAAUGGUAAUUUAUCUGUAUAAAUUUAUUUUUUUAUAUAAUUCAUGGAUUUAAUUUAUUUUAUAGAAAAUAAAUUUUUUUUAAUUUUAAAAAAAUUUAGAGUAAGUUUGUUUAUUAUUGACUAAUAAUGUGCCAGCAGUAGCGGUUAAACAUUUAAUAAUAUAGAUAUAUAAAAUUUAAAAAUAAAGUAAUACUAAAUUUUUAAUAGUUUGUAUAAACAAAGGUGAAAUUUUGUUAUAUAAGUUUUAAAUAAUAUUGAGUUUUUUUAAAAAAAAAAUAACUAGGAUUAGAUACCCUAUUAUAAAUUUAGAAAAUUUAGUAGUAAGUGAAAAACAUGAAACUAAAAUUAAUUGGCGGCUUUUUAAAUAUCUUAGAGAAAUUUAUUCUUUAAAGGAGUCAACCCCAAAAUCUUACUUUUUUUUGUAUAAUUUAAUACAUUACAUUUCAUAUACCUCUAUCUUUUGAUUACUAGUUUAAUUAUAAAUUUAGCUUUUUUUAGAUAAAUUUUAGGGAAAGGUGUGGAUAAUAAAAAAGGAUGAAAUAAGUUUCAUUAAUUAGUAUUUAAUGAUUUAUUUUUGUAAUAAAGUUUAAAAAUAGAAUUUAAAAGUAAUAUUAGUAUAUUUUGCUAAUUUGAAUUAGUUUUUAGAAGUGUACAUAUUGCCCGUCACUCUCUUAUUAGAGAUAAGUCGUAACAAAGUAAAAUCACUGGAAAGUGUUUUUAAAUAAUU